GAUGAAGAACGUAGCGAAAUGCGAUAAGUAAUGUGAAUUGCAGAAUUCAGUGAAUCAUCGAAUCUUUGAACGCACAUUGCGCCCCCUGGUAUUCCGGGGGGCAUGCCUGUUCGAGCGUCAUUUCACCACUCAAGCCUCGCUUGGUAUGGGGCAACGCGGUCCGCCGCGUGCCUCAAAUCGACCGGCUGGGUCUUCUGUCCCCUAAGCGUUGUGGAAACUAUUCGCUAAAGGGUGUUCGGGAGGCUACGCCGUAAAACAACCCCAUUUCUAAGGUUGACCUCGGAUCAGGUAGGGAUACCCGCUGAACUUAAGCAUAUCAAUAAGCGGAGGA
Molecule: unclassified non-coding RNA, 331 nt
Filed under: soil metagenome
Description: partial contains 5.8S ribosomal RNA, internal transcribed spacer 2, and large subunit ribosomal RNA
Rfam family: 5.8S ribosomal RNA (bases 1-120)
Source: RNAcentral